This is a long non-coding RNA of Acinonyx jubatus (cheetah), 2958 nucleotides long. RefSeq lists it as uncharacterized. The transcript has 4 exons. The record is from RefSeq and is a predicted model, not a curated record. Lineage: Eukaryota; Metazoa; Chordata; Mammalia; Carnivora; Felidae.
GUGGCGUCUGGGUGGGGGAUGGGGACAACCCCCCAUGCACAGGACCUGUAGUAAAGUGUUAGGUCCUUGUAGAGAACCUAUCAAUACUACAUGUUGGUUGAACACUUGUUAUUUCAAAGCCAAACCAAAAGAGGUUUUUGGUAAACCCUCUGAUAAUUACUAGAAAAGUGUCCUUGGACAAUGCAUGUAUCCUUUGUGAGCCUCCCUUUCUGUGCCUGUACAAUGGAGAUAGCAAUGUGUCUACCUUAUGGGGCUGUGAUGAGGAUUAUAUUGAGCGAAUAAAGCAUCAAGCAUAGAUCCUGGGACACAGUGCUGAUUCACAUUCUGUCUGGUUCCCUUUUGCAUCCCUUAGGUUUUCCCUCCUUUGCUGAGAACUUAUGCCUGGUGUCCAUCCACUUCCUCUGCCACAGAGUGAGCAGCAGCCUGGGACUCAACCUCAUCCUGGUACAGGUGGGUCCUUGGUAACAACUUUGCCAGCGAGUGGCUGGAAACAGAGUCCCAGGGCACUCAGCAGAGUUUAUUAGAGUGAAAAUGAGGAGAACAGGGUCCAUCUUUAAGAGCUGUCCAAGGGAGACCGGAGCCACCCAGCCCCUGUAGGAAGGAAGUGUUAAUUGUGCCAUUAAUAAUACUUAGCAUUCUCCCCAUGCUUUUCCAAGCUAAUUAAUUCUGCUUCAAAUCCUGGAAAACAAAUGACUGGGUGUGUUGGGGACAGGCUUCUGUUUCUGAGAUUGAAGGGUGGAGAAGCUUGCCCUCUGCAAUGACUGGGGGAAGGGAAAAGCGGUGUUACCUCUUCCUCGGGUCAAGUUUCUUGGAAUGUGCAGAGGGCUUUGACCCCUGGUGGGGACUUCCCCUUUACCCUCAAGACCUUCUCCAAACAGGGAUAAUCACCCAAAGGUACAAAGGUACAAGGCUCACCCAGCCGUAGGACACUGUCCAGAAGUGGCAGAUGUUAAGCUGACACCGUGGUCUGGAGGGAAACUUUCUCUUUCUCUUUCCCCAGAACCCAGGGUAGAGCUCAUGUGCCAGAGGCUAGGAUGUGUAGUUAGGUCAUCAACUCUGCUGUCCUUUAACUCAGUGGAGACUAACCUUACAGACCAGAAUCUGGGGGUCCCAAGAAUCUGACCCAAUUCCUUCCCUUCACAGAAGUGCACGGUCAAGCGUGAGAGACAGAAGUGUCAGGCAGACGAUGGUGAGACUGAGAAAGGAACUCAGAGCCGGGAGAAACAAGUCCUAUCUUCCGGCCAACUCACAGCCACGUGGUCUACCAGUGCACUUGGCAUUAAGGGUUGAAUCGUAUCCCUGGCUCAAAUGCAUGUGUUGAAAUCCUAACCUCUCAGUACCUCAGAAUAUAACUUGAUUUGGAGACUGGGUGUUUACAGAGGCAACCAAGAUAAAGCAAGGUCAUUCUGGUGGGCUCUAAUCAAAUAUGACUGUUGUGCUUCUUCGAAGAAGGGGAAAGUUGGACACAGACAUGUACAGACGGAAGACGAUGUGACCAGGUGAAGAUACUGGGAGAAUGCCAUUGAACAUGAAGACAACCAAGCCAAGGGGAGAGGCCUGGAACAGAGCCCUCCCUCAGAGCCCUCAGAAAGAACCAGCCGUCCCAACCAACACCUUGAUUUGGGACUUCCAGCCUCCAGGAGAUAAGACAAGAAAUUUCUGUUGGUUAAGCCACCCAGGCUGUGAUACUUGGUUACAGUAGCCCUAGCAAACGAAUACAGCUGGCCGCCUGGUGAACAUAAGAAAUGUCAAUUGUGAUGAGGGAAGGGGUACCCCUAAGAACACAGGGAAGUUUGAGGCCACUAUAUGGCUUUGAGGAAGGGAAUAGGGAAGAGGGGGCAAUGCCCAGGAGGAAAGACAUCCCACAAAGCCCUGCUGCCUUCCUGCCCCUGGGGCCUUUGCCCGCCCUACUUCUAGGAAUAAAUCUACAAGGCUGCCUUUUAAUUUCUACUAUUGUGGAGAGCAUGACUUGGUGACACUUUACUUAGUACUCGGAGCUUCUCUACAGCCCCACGGGUUGGGAGUCUCUGUGCUAUGACUGAUAUCCUCGCUCUAGAGAAAUUUUGUGCCAAAACUUGGAAUGAAAUUGGAUAGAGAAAUUGGUCUCUUCUGGCCCCCUUCCUGAUCGGCCCCAUCAGUCAAAUGCAGCAGACUGCAACAAUACUAGAAGUUUUUCACUGAAGAGUCAGAGCACAGUAGCAAAAGUGGAUGACCAACCUGGAAGAAACUAACAGAAUCAAGAGCACUGCCUGGCUUUUCUUUCCUUACUUCAGUAAAUAUUUCAUAGAACAUCACUGAGCCCGGAAUUUCCUAGGUAAAGUGAGCAACUAAAUGAACAAUAAAAAUGGUUAUCACAUGCAUCUACUACUCACUGUGUUCUAUGAGCUGUAUACUAAAUAUUUGAGUUAUUUUGUUAAAUACAGUAAGUUUUCAUUAUUAAUCCCAUUGUGUCGACCUGAAGGUAAGGAUUCAGAACAUGAACAAGAUCUGUCUGACCCAAGCACAAUAUAAUAAUAAACAAAAAAAAAUUUAUGGAAUGCUUAAUAGGUUUCAGGCAGCAUUCUGUGGAUUCCACACAUAACAAUGAACUCAUUUGAUUUUCAUAGCAUUCCUAGGACGUAGGUACCACUAUUAACCCCAUUUUAUCUAUGAAGAAACCGAUGAUCAGAGAAAGUAGUUAACUUGCUUUAGAUCAUGCAGCUGGCUGGUGGCAGAACUGAAAUUAACCAGAAAGUAUGGUCCCAGAAGUUAUGUUUUUAAACUCUGUGCUAUCCUUGCUGCCACAGCCUUCAAGGAGAAAGAGUGGGUCAUAGUAUAUCUACCCUCCCAAGGGUUAGCAAAAUAGAUAACUCAUAGUAGAAGAAGAAUGAAAAAAAUGAGUAACAUAAAAUAAAAUAUUCUUCAUCAAGAAUUAUCUUUCAUUUUAGAAGCAACAUACUUCAUUUGGAUUCUCUAGUC